Clupea harengus (Atlantic herring) is the source of this 1526-nucleotide long non-coding RNA. Lineage: Eukaryota; Metazoa; Chordata; Actinopteri; Clupeiformes; Clupeidae. The record is from Ensembl.
UGUGUGUGUGUAGCGUGUGUGUGUGUGUGUGUGUGUGUGUGGUGCCAGACACACAGCACUCAAGCUCUAGUGGCCAAUUGGCACUGCUGGAUGAAGAACAAAAAGAUUGUUAUAAGAAUACUGAAUGCUCCCAGGCAGAAGCUGCAGAGAAGGGGUGGGGGGUGGGGUGGGGUGAUAGAGAGAGUGGGAAACAGAGGAGUAAAAGAAAGUUUAAAUGUAAGAAGUGUUUUUUGUUUUUUUGUUUUGUUAAAAGAACCAUGUAUCCAAAGUUACAUCACAACUGCAUGCGAACAGAGGAGCAAAGCGGCACAGAGGGAGAACAAGAGCAUGAGCUUGUGGGGGGACAUCAGGCUCGGGGUCUUGCCUCCGCAGCAUGGCGCCUAUUAAUCAUUCACAGGAAUCCCAGCAGCCACCACGCUGAAGUAUGGAUUCUCCCGCUAGUUCCUCGGCACACAUAGGCACUGACCCUCAUGGGCCCCAGUCCUGGGAGGACCAGGCCAACAUGCAACAUAUGGUCCUAAACCACUAACACUCUUGUCUGCUCUACCUCCCAGUGCACUGCAUGGCUAAGGCCUCUUACUAGCUGACCUCUGACCUUGGGGUAUGCUUUCUGUCCCUCUCUGGUCCCUCCUUCUUAUGAGUUAUUUUUCUUUCUUUCUUGUGUCACACUCCCUCUCUCCUCUUCUUACCCCCCCCCCCCCCCCCCUGUUCUUGCAAUCUUCAUCUGCUUCUUUUACAGUGCUUUUCUUUCUGUACUUCUUUCCUCUCCUUGUCUCUCUUCAUUCACUCCUCACAGAUGUGCUUUCUCCUGCGUUCUCUUGUCUUUGCGGUGUUUGACACACUAAGACUCCCCAGUCUCCGAUUAAAUGCAUUUAGAUGCCAUUGCGGUUUGGAUGUGACAACUUGUGAGACUAACGAUGGGGACGUGACAAACCUCAUGAACGCACGGCGUUGGACAGCUCAGGGGAACCGUCACGGCAAAAAAAAAACAUGCAAAACACCCCAAUUAGAGCUACCUCCUCUUGUGAUGCUCUUCCUCUCCCUCCUUCUCCUCCUCCUCCUCCUUCCCCUCUCCCGUCUUCCCAUCUUAAUCAGUUUUUUUUGUUUUCUUCCCCCCAGUUUCUUUCUUUCUAAAAAAGAUUCUUCUUUUCUUCUUCUCUUUUCCAUCUAAUGAUACGGGCUACACGAGCGCAAACAGCUCCUUGCUGUUCUUAUCUGUGCCGAGCAUCACAAAACCAUCUCGCUGCUAUUCUGGUCUUUUACUGUAGAUCAAUCUUUUUUUUAAAUCAAUAUUUAAUACGGGCGCAAAACCUGCGAGAUAUCCUUGUCCACUGCCCGUUGAAUUGGAAAUAAUGAAAUAAUAAAAGGCACCGGGAUUGUUAGAGACGAUUACGAACUCUGAGCCGCUUCUGAAAUCAAACUCCUGCAGCUCAUGAGAAGAAAAAAGAAAACACAAAGAUCAUGCGGAUCACCGGCUGCAUCCGGCAUUCGUCUCCUGGCGAAUUGUGCUCUUGCGGCCAGAAAGG